Molecule: non-coding RNA, 1098 nt
Organism: Paramuricea clavata
Lineage: Eukaryota; Metazoa; Cnidaria; Anthozoa; Malacalcyonacea; Plexauridae
Source: the annotation of a GenBank genome assembly
GCAAUAGCGACAGAAACAGUAACAUCGAUCGCGAUUAUAACCACAACAGUAAGAGCAACAUUAGCAGCAAAAGCAGCAUUAACAGCAAUAGAAAAAUCAACACUAACAACGGUAAAACUAACCACUAUAUACCAACAACAGUAACAACUGGAAAAGUAGAAGAGUGAUUUAGUUGGAUCAAAUCCCACAACAUAUCUACAAUUUAUUGUAUGUUCUCAGUAAAAUAAUUUGAAUUUAUUAUUUCCAAUAAAUUAGGUGUGCACUCUACUCACAGCAACGAAGCUGAAGACAGAAGAUUCAGCUUUAGAUGUUGUAACACCCAGAGUAAUUGCGCACGUGAUUGUGUUUGGUCUGGCUAUGUGAAUAACUUCGAUGGUUAUCUGAACUACGUCGUACCCAGUGGCUCUUUUCUCACUGGGGCACAAAGUUUUCAUGACAAUGGAAAUGAGUAAGUCCAACAAAUAUUCAACUACGUUUGUUUGUGUGAUUGUUUGUUUGUCUUUUUGUCUACUGAUCAACAGGAUAACUGAAAAAGUAUUAAAAAAAGGUAAACAGAAAAGUUUAGGCGGCAUAAAUCGCGGCCGAUCCGUCGGCGGUCAAAAUUGUUAAUUAAAUAUGUUUGAAAAUUCGAUGAGAAAUGAAGGUCACAACACGCAGGGUGUUUUGGCUUUGCUGACAGCGAGAUAUCAGUUUCGGAUUUGCCGUUGCAUUAUCUUCAAGUUAAGAUAAUUUGUCAACUGUUAGUUAUUAUAUGUUAUGCUAUCUCAACUGAUAGUUAUUAUAUGUUAUUACAUGUUAUGCUGUUUACGCGAUUCAGUUGAAAUAACUUAUAUUGACGUCAUGUCUCUUAUCAGCUUUCGUUAUAUUUUCUUAGGGAUAGACGAUGGGAAUUCCUCGCUUGUAAACAAGGUUGAUGAAGACAAAUUACUGAUGUUUUUCUUAUUUGACAAACUUUGAUGCGUAAUUACUCAACACUCUUUUUCUAUUAAUUAAUUAAUACGUAAUUCUGAUGUGCUUGUAACGACUUUCAAUUAAUUUUCAUAAUAAAAUACAGCGCAAUAAAGUCUCUUGUACAUUUUACACUUCUAACAUGUGCCG